AAAUCCUGUCUAAUACCUUAUAUGACGCCCCGCCGCAUGGCGGGAUGUGGAAAGACAGUGUCCGACGUUCUUGAACUCGCGGCCUAUCACCUUGUUGGUGGGGUGAUGGCCUACCAAGGCGACGACGGGUAGCCGGCCUGAGAGGGUGACCGGCCACACUGGGACUGAGACACGGCCCACACUCCUACGGGAGGCAGCAGUGGGGAAUAUUGCACAAUGGGCGCAAGCCUGAUGCAGCGACGCCGCGUGAGGGAUGACGGCCUUCGGGUUGUAAACCUCUUUCAGUAAGGAAGAAGCUCUUCGGGGUGACGGUACCUGCAGAAGAAGCGCCGGCUAACUACGUGCCAUCAACCGCGGUAAUACGUAGGGCGCAAGCGUUGUCCGGAAUUAUUGGGCGUAAAGAGCUCGUAGGCGGUCUGUCGCGUCUGCUGUGAAAACGCGGGGCUCAGCCCCGCGCCUGCAGUGGGUACGGGCAGACUAGAGUGCGGUAGGGGAGACUGGAAUUCCUGGCGUAGCGGUAGUAGUGCGCAGAUAUCAGGAGGAACACUGUGUGGCGAUGGCGUGUCUCUGGGCCGUUACUGACGCUGAGGAGCGAAUGCAUGUCGAGCGAACAAGAUUAGAUACCCUGAGAAUCCAUCGCCGUAAACGUUUGGCACUAGGUGUGGGACCUAUUCCACGGGUUCCGUGACGCAGCUAACGCACUACGUGCCCCGCCUUGGG
This 720-nucleotide ribosomal RNA is filed under the name Georgenia sp. SUB25. Its description in RNAcentral is "bacterial SSU rRNA". It matches the Rfam family "Bacterial small subunit ribosomal RNA", at positions 154 to 878 of the family's 1533-position model. The record is from RNAcentral. Lineage: Bacteria; Bacillati; Actinomycetota; Actinomycetes; Allobogoriellales; Allobogoriellaceae.